This is an RNA transcript of Mus musculus (house mouse), 2108 nucleotides long. It is a transcript of the gene named cilia and flagella associated protein 53, with no coding region annotated. NCBI's taxonomy places the organism in Eukaryota, Metazoa, Chordata, Mammalia, Rodentia, Muridae. The transcript is spliced from 9 exons. The record is from RefSeq and is marked validated.
GGGGUGACGCACCAUGGCAACCAGCACUCUGCGUCUGGGAAGUAAACUCCACCGUGCUUUCUAGUUUCCUGUCGCCACCAUCCCAAAGAGACUUGAAGAUGUACAGCCAGCAGUUUGGCACUGUUCCAAGGGAAUUUAAGGGCCCCACUCCCAAAGCGGUGAUCAUAAUGAGAAACCCCAGACUUGGAGCUGAGAUAACUUGUUCAGCACAGUGAUGACGGAGUAUAGGCCAUUGUUCUUUAAAAGAGGAACUUGCUAUGCUGCAGUAGCAAAGUCUCUCCUUGCUCUUCACAAAUCCCAGCGUCUGUGCCCAUGAUUGUAGUUACCUGCUUAGUAGUUACACCUGGCUUUGACCUCUGGCUAUGUUGUUGAAAUUGCUCGGAGUCACAUAUUGAAAAGAGAGCCAAGCCUCCCAAAGCUCAGAGAGCUGAGCAACAUCUAAAAAGAAUCCAGCGCAGCUACCACAAGUACCACACUACUUUGGCUUCCAUCAAGUCAAAUGAGGAGAAUCGCCUGAAAUGUGACUGGAUCCAGCGCAAUAACCACAAGACCUUUGACAGUCUUGUGCAAGCGAGAGUCCAGGAUGCCAUGCAAGGCUUUGUCAUCAAUACUGAAGAGAGACGCAAUAAGCUACGUGAACUUUUGGCAUCAGAAGAAAACGAGUAUUUUUCUGAAAUGCAAUUGAAAGGAGAAACCAUUGAAGAGAAAAAAGACAAAAUGAGAGAGAGAACCAAGUUAUUAAGAGAGAAGAAGGAAAAGGAGAGGCAGGAGUUUGUAGCUGAAAAGUUAGACCAGCAGUUCAGGGAACGCUGUGAGGAGCUCCGCACUAAAUUGGCCAGCAUCCACGAGAAAAAGGUGGUUGAGGAACGGAAUGCGCAGAUAGAAUUCAACAAGGAGCUGAAGAGGCAAAAGCUGGUGGAAGAGCACCUGUUUGCGAGGCUUUGGGAGGAAGACAGAUUAGCGAAGGAAAGGCGAGAAGCCCAAGAGGAGAAGAGACAGAGAGAGCUGGUACAAAAUACACGCCUGGGUCUGGAUGCUCAGGUGACCAGCAUCCAGGCACAAAGGCAGGGGGCACGAAGGAUGAAGGAAGAGGAGGCCCGCAUCCUGGAGCAGAACAAAGCACAGAUCAAACGAGAGGACGAACAAGAAAAACUCCAGAAGCAGAAGAGAAGACAGGAAACUAGGAGCAGUUUGAAAAAAGCUGUGCAGGAUAAGAUAGAGUCUAUGCAGCGGGAGUACAGAGAGGACCUGGACUUGAACAUGAAACUCGUGGGAAGGGCCCUUCAAGACUUACAAGAUGAGGCAGAUAAGAAGAAGCAGAAGAGAGAAGAAAUGGGAAGAGAGCAGAAGAUAUACAAUGACUAUCUAAUGCAGCGACGAGAGGAAGAAAAAGCCCAGGAGAAAGAACUCAACAGACUACUGGAGGACAUAAAGGCAAAGAAGUUGGCUGAGAAGGAUCGGGAGCUGGCACUCCAAAGGGCGGCAAGGAAGCAGCUCAUGAAUGAAGUCAUGAAUACAAGAAAACUCCAAGUUCAAGAAAGAUUGCAGCGAAAACUCAGAGAACAAGAAGAACUUGCUCUGCAUGAACAGCGUAUAAGCGAAAGCCUGAAGGUGCUUCACCAGGAAGACAUGGAGGACUUUGCCAGGCGCUGUGCUUUGGCUGAGGAGUAUAGGAAUCAACUUCAGAUGCAGAUUGCCCACCAGCAGCAGGCUCGAGAAGCAGAAAAGGAAGAGGAACGCCAGGAAUUUGAAGCAGGGUUGGCAGCAAACAAAGCCUGCCUGGACAAAAUACAGAGGAUCCUCUCUGAGAAUCAAGCUCUGUCCCAGAAUGUCCACCCCAUGCGAAGGGGUUACCCUGACAAGCCUCCUCUAUAGUUUUAUAUAAAUCAAUGUAUGUUUUCUGGGUCUUUCAAUAUUUUUUUUAACUACACCUUUUGACUAAUGGAUAAACGCUUAUUCUCCGAGUUUGUAUACUUUAUUAGACAUAAUUUUCUUCCUUCAAAUGAAUUUGUUCUUUGGAUACUAGUUAAAUCUAUAUUGCUAUAGCAAAAAAAAAAAAUCUGACAUUGUCAACUUAAAAAGAAUAAAGAUUUAUUUUAGCUUCUGGU